CAAGAGAGAGACAAAUGAGACGGCGAACAGAGGAAGAAAGAAGGAGGAGACGGAAGAGGAGGGGGACAGAGAGAGAACGAAGAGGGGGAAGGAAGACUGCAUAGUCUAAACGAUCCAAUCUUCGUGCGGGUAGCAAAUUCGAAACCCACCAUCGUCGUUCUUGGAACCGUCGAUCGUGUACUGGCAUUUUGCAGAUAGAUCAUAAAUGGCGUCAAAACCAGUUGUUACACAGCAAGCUAGAGGUGCAGAAAUUGCCGGUGGGAGGGCAAUGGAAGAUCCCUUUGGGCAAUGGAAAUAAUCGGAAAGCACAUGGAGAUAUUGGGAGUUUGGUUCCUGUUCAAGUCAUCGAUGGGAAGCCGAAGCAAGAGUUCUCCCAUCCCCUGACGAGGAAAUAACACAAAAAAUAAAAAAUAAAUAAAAAAUCCUAUAUAAUGAAUCCUUUUUACCGUCAGAAACCAACUCCAAAAGUUGUUAAUGGAUCGGGGGAGAAGAAAGGAACUGUGCCAGCAAAACCAGCUCAGAAGAAGUUCAAUGCAAAGCCAAAGACAGAUAUAACAAGGGAGGUAGGCCAGGAGCAGAAAGAAGAUACAAGAAAGGAGAACAAUGCAAGCGAGAAAUCAUCAAGGCGUAAGGCUUAGACCCUCACAUCAGUCCUAACAGAUUGAAGCAAGGAUGCUUGUGGUCUAAUCAAUAAAUCAAGUGAUCCCAUUGUCAACAUUGACACACAAGAUGUAGACAAUUAUCUAGCCAUGGGUGACUAUGUGGAAGGCCUGUACAAGUUUUACAAGCUUGAGGAGGGUUCAAUUCUAUUCAGUGGCAGUAGAAAGCAAGUUGAAGGGAACUUACAAGAAAUAUACAGAUCCUGAAUAAGGCCAAAGAAGUGCAGGUCCUACGGUCUAAUGACACUUGGACCUUUCAACCAGUAUCAUUCGGUAAGUGUUCUUAAUCAGUAUCGUUUGGUAUGUUGGGUCUUGCUCUGAUACCACUUGUUGAAUCUCGAUAUUCUUUGUUGGGAAAAAUGAUAACUCAGUUUUCCACUUGUGUACGUCACUAAAGGAAAUUCGACUACACUAUUCAACACUAUUCAUGUGAACAAUACUUGUACGUGUCCCACUAACACUUGGACCUUCAAUCAGUCGCUCCGUAAGGUGUUUUUGGCUGCAAAGAUCUAAAAGGCAUGUUUACCCAUUAAGUGUCUUGCUCUGAUACCGCUUAUUGAGUCUCGAUACUCCUUGUUGGAAAAAAUGAUGAUACUCAAUUUUCUCACCUUUAUGUACGUCACCACUAUUCACGUGAAUAGUAUAUUCAUGAAUGUAACUGUGCAUGUCUUACUACAAUACAAAGUUACAAAAAACAUACUAGCAUUUUUAAGUGUUCUAUUGACUGCAGGUAUCUAAAAGGGCGUGUUUACUCACUAAGGGUUAUAUUUGGGUCUUGCUCUGAUACCGCUUGUUGAGUCUCGAAACUCUUUGCUGGAAAAAUGAUGACUCAGUUUUCCACUUGUGUGUACGUCAAUGAAGGAAAUUCGACUACACUAUUCAACACUAUUCAACCUAUGAAUAAUAAUUGUGCAUGUCCAACUACAGUACAAAGUUACAGAAAAUACUUGUGACAAACAGUUAUGGCCAAUGAAAUACAAGUCUUUGAGUCUAAUAACAAUUGGAUCUUCAACUAGUAUCGCUCAGUAAGGUGUUCUAUUGGUUGCAGGUAUCUAAAAGGCAUGUUUACUUGCUAGGGUCUUGUCUGAUACCCCUUGUUGAGUCUCGAUACUCCUUGUUGGAAAAAAUGAUGAAUCGAUUUUCUCACCUGUAUGUACGUCAUCACUAUUCACAUGAAUAGUAAUUAUGAAUAGUACACCCAUGAAUGUAAUUGUGCAUAUCCUAGUAUA
RNA transcript from Macadamia integrifolia, 1888 nucleotides. It is a transcript of the gene named G2/mitotic-specific cyclin S13-6-like, with no coding region annotated. Lineage: Eukaryota; Viridiplantae; Streptophyta; Magnoliopsida; Proteales; Proteaceae. The record is from RefSeq and is a predicted model, not a curated record. The transcript is spliced from 6 exons.